AAAAUUAAGAACGAAUGUACCAUUUACUUGAUCACAAAGGUAGUUUACCAGGAUGAGGCUGAUCCUUUGUACUCCGGAUGUGCUGGCCCAUGCAAUUUAUCCAAGUGUGGGAAACUUGACUGCUGAAUUUGUGGUAAUGGGGGAACUGAGUUCGUGCUCUCCUCUG
Small nuclear RNA from Hyaena hyaena (striped hyena), 166 nucleotides. RefSeq annotates it as U1 spliceosomal RNA. The transcript has a single exon. Lineage: Eukaryota; Metazoa; Chordata; Mammalia; Carnivora; Hyaenidae. The record is from RefSeq and is a predicted model, not a curated record.